This is a long non-coding RNA of Chlorocebus sabaeus (green monkey), 510 nucleotides long. RefSeq lists it as uncharacterized. Lineage: Eukaryota; Metazoa; Chordata; Mammalia; Primates; Cercopithecidae. The record is from RefSeq and is a predicted model, not a curated record.
CGUACUGUGCCUUGACCUCAGCGAUGAUGUCGUCCACGUCCAGGGAGCGGCUGCUGUCCAUGGACAACAUCACAGAUGUAUCUGAGAUUUGGGACUGCAGCUCCCGAUCUCCUCUUCAUACAGCUGCCUCCGGAAGUUGAUCUCCUCAGCCCUAACAGCAGAAGUGACACUAUAUGAUAUCCAGGACUUGGCCUUAUGAGAUCUUCAGCUUCCACAUGCUGUUUUGAAGCACUCCCUGUUAGAAGCCAGCAGCCAUCUAAGUCUAUCUGAAGACGAUGAUACUGUGAGGAUGCCCAAGCUAUGUGGAGUGAGAGGCCAAUAGAGAUGCACUAAGGCACCAGACAUGAAACUUUCUUGGACUUUCUGGCUCAGUUCAACCACCAGCUGAAUGCAGCCAAGGAAAGACUCAGCCGACGUCACAGGGAGCAGAACCCUCCAAAUGAGUGAAACUGAAUUCCCAAAUCCACAGAAUCCUGAGCAAAUAAAUGACAGCGGCUUUUGCUUACCAAA